RNAcentral lists this ribosomal RNA (403 nucleotides) under uncultured bacterium. RNAcentral describes it as "partial 16S ribosomal RNA". It matches the Rfam family "Bacterial small subunit ribosomal RNA", at positions 30 to 526 of the family's 1533-position model. The record is from RNAcentral.
AUUGAACGCUGGCGGCAGGCCUAACACAUGCAAGUCUAGCGAGCGGCGGACGGGUGAGUAAUGUAUGGGGACUGCCCGAUAGAGGGGGAUAACUACUGGAAACGGUGGCUACUACCGCAUACUAUCGGAUAACCCAGCUUGGAUUAGCUAUUAGGUGUGGUAAAGGGGCACCUCGGCGACGAUCUCUAGCUGGUCUGAGAGGCUGAUCAGCGAACCUGGAACUGCGACACGGCCCAGACUCCUACGGAGGCAGCCGUGGGUAAUAUUGCACAAUGGGCGCGAGCCUGAUGCAGCCAUGCCGCAUGUAUGAAGAAUGCCUUAGGGUUGUAAAGUACGUUCAGCGGUGAGGCGUUAACCGCAGAAGAAGCACCGGCUAACUCCGUGCCAGCAGCCGCGGUAAUAC